CGAAUUGUGUCUGACAUAAAGGUUAUCGGAAUUUUAAUUGAACCUAAUAGAUACAGAUUUAAAUCUAUUUCAAUACCACGUUUAGAUUUUAAUAUAUAAUCAUUCGAGAAUUCCAAUUUAUUAAAUAAACGUCUCGAAUUCGUUCAAAAAGUAAUGACAGUUGUAUAUUUGCAUGAAAUUUCUAAAAAUAAUAAUGGUAAAGUUUAAGAAUUUGAGGUAUUUCAAAAUAGUAUUGCUAUGGGCAUUUGUCCAUUAAAAGACUGGCGCCAGACCGACAACAUCCAUCAAUUCCGAAAUUUGUGGACCCAGCGUGAUACCCACACACAAACAGGUACACUGAUCAUCAAAAGCUAUUGUAUCAAGAGACUAAUCUCACCUUCUUUGUCUGUUUAGUUAUAUUUUCAUAUUUUUCGUCACUUUCUCGGAGGGUUCGUCCAGUACACUUGACUGGAUGGUGGCUAGACCGACACCUAAUAUUUCUCUUAUUAUUUUUACGCAGAGACGGACUAGACGGAAACGAAAAAAAAAUCGUGCAAUCGCAAAUCACAGACAAAAAUUACAUUUUUCUUAAUAAAAUCUUUAGUUCUCACAGUCCAAUAAUACGUUAUGAUCGAUAACCACCCUUUUUUACAAUAGUAUUAAUUAGGGGUAGCUGAUUUUUGUAAAAGGUUAUCUACUUGAUCCACCAUGUUCAAUUAGUCACUUCUUCAUUAUAAACGAAUAAGAAUUUUACCUGAAAAUUGCUCAAAGCAGUCACCCUAUUACGACAAGACCAAAUCAGCGAGAAAUCUGUGCUGUAUCCAGAUUUUACCUAUAUCAUUACCUGGUGACGCUAAGAGUGGCUGGACAGUACGAAGAAGACUUGAUUCUAGCUGUAAAUGAACCUCAGCUCGAUUUACCACAGAACACGUUAAUUGAAGUGACGAAUCGUGUCCAUACGAGGGACCUAUAGAAAGAUUCAAGCCUAAAAGAAAACGUGCUUUUUGGAAGAGGUUUCUGGAUAGUUAGUCGCUAUGAAUUGGCCAAUGCGUAGCCCAGACUUGACCAAAAAUAAAAAAUCGAACAAAGAUCGUUUAUUUUUUAAAAAUUAAUCAAAUUCACGUCCAAUUCAACAUACCCUGGAAUACAUAUUGGUCACUGCUUCAAGCGUGUUUCAGCUACUUUUUUAAACAAUCCAGGCGCCAAUUUGAACCAAUUAAAACGACACGGAGAGAGUAUAAGCUCAGCAAAAUUGAUAUUGUUCAAAAGAUUUUGGUUUCAUCGUCAGUAAUUGAAGAAAUUUCUUCUUAAUCAAAAAUUCCGACAGAGUAGUAGUACAACAGUUCGUUUCGGGAUGUAACAAUUCAAGAUGGUUUAAUUUAUUGACUUGAACCCUUCGAUGUCGUUAGACAGGUCGUGAGGUUUGCCCAGGCACUCGCAGAUAACUUGGUCUUCAGUUUCCAUGCACCAGGGGCUCUCCGGAUCAUCCGUUAUGCCCAUGAACGUCUUAGAUGGCAAUGUCAAGCUAAAAAUUCGAUCUGAUUUAGCUGAAGAAGUUGUUUGGUGAGACAGGAACCCCUGAAGCUCUAAUGAACAUCCUAGUACAGUAUUUUCAUAUAAUAUUUCCAAAUUGGCGGAGAAGAAGUCGAGGAUAGAUAGAAUGGCCAUCGCGAUCACCCGAUCUAACAUGAUUAGAUAUUUUUUCCACGGGGAUAAGUGCAACUAUUGAUUUAAAUGCAAUUAGAUCCAUUAGAUUUAUUACGUACGAAACGUUGAAUCAAAUUGAAAGACAGUUUUUUUUUAUUUAAUAUUGCUAUAAUCAUUUUAGUAGUAUUUUACUGAAAAAACUUGAUUAAAAACUUGAAAAGUAACAGUUAAGGGUAGAAAUUGCUUUUUCCGCGUUAAAAAACGUCUUAAAUUAUUAUUCAUACAAAUGUAAUCAUGAAUUUAUUUAGUUUUGUUUCUACGGCGCCGAUUCCAUAACUGAUUUCUCGGAAACCAUCUCGUGGAGGCCGACAAUGAACCAAACCAAAAACGAGGUAUGGAUUGUCGAGGCCGUCACUUCAUCAUCCACAUCUUAGAUGGUAAUACGCCGUGUUUGUGUCGGAUUCGAAGCCGCCGUACUGACGCCGAAAAGUCCAACACCCACUACAUAAAAGAAUAUUAUUUAUAAAAUUCCCUUGAUAACAUAAAAGUACAAUAAAUCGUUGUUUUGGUUAUAGAAAAAGUAUAUAAUAAAUAUGAAUACAAUAAUACGACGAAA
Molecule: long non-coding RNA, 2242 nt
Organism: Diorhabda carinulata
Lineage: Eukaryota; Metazoa; Arthropoda; Insecta; Coleoptera; Chrysomelidae
Exons: 2
Source: RefSeq, a predicted model, not a curated record